Molecule: long non-coding RNA, 707 nt
Filed under: Homo sapiens (human)
Lineage: Eukaryota; Metazoa; Chordata; Mammalia; Primates; Hominidae
Description: HSALNT0327120
Source: RNAcentral
UGAAUACCUGCAGAUGAGGGUCACUGGAAGCCAUCUUGAAGGUACAGUCAUGUGCCGCAUAAUGACAUUCAGUCAAUGACAGACUGCAUAUAUGAGGUGGUCCUGUAAGGUGAUAAUGGAGCUGAAAAAUUCCUACUACUGAACGACAUCAUAGCCAUUGUAACAUCAUAGCACAACCAAUCACCUUUUCUAUAUUUAGGAGCAAAGGCAAUACAAUGGAGAAGACAGUCUUUUAACAAAGGUGCUGGAAUAACUGGACAGCCAUGCACACACACAGAAAAGAAUCGAGACACAGACUUUACAUCUUCACAAAGGUACAACACUGAAGGCACCGCCCAUGAAAGAAACAACUGAUAGGCUGAACUCCAUUAAAAUUAAAAGCUUUUGCUCUGCAAAUACAAGAGAAUGAGAACACAAACCGUGAUGCUGAAGUUACAAGUCUGAACCACACGUAGACUAUCAUAGCAAGAUGGCUACAGAAGUUCUGGAAAUAUACCAGACGUGGCAAUGCUGCAGAGGAAGGAGGGAGAAUAUGCCUUUCUGCAGAUCUUUCUUGGAGGAGAGAUAAGGAGUUCAUAUGCUGGAAUGAUAGUGACACAGGAGUUUAACACUCCUACAGUAUCCAGAGCCUGGAUCCCUGAGUCAUCAGAUGGAGAAGAACUACUCAGGAGAGUCAUCCAACCUUCAUAGACAGUGGCAUGAGUGGG